This 685-nucleotide ribosomal RNA is filed under the name Salmonella enterica. RNAcentral describes it as "partial 23S ribosomal RNA". The record is from RNAcentral. Lineage: Bacteria; Pseudomonadati; Pseudomonadota; Gammaproteobacteria; Enterobacterales; Enterobacteriaceae.
CCGGAGAAUGUUAUCACGGGAGACACACGGCGGGUGCUAACGUCCGUCGUGAAGAGGGAAACAACCCAGACCGCCAGCUAAGGUCCCAAAGUCAUGGUUAAGUGGGAAACGAUGUGGGAAGGCCCAGACAGCCAGGAUGUUGGCUUAGAAGCAGCCAUCAUUUAAAGAAAGCGUAAUAGCUCACUGGUCGAGUCGGCCUGCGCGGAAGAUGUAACGGGGCUAAACCAUGCACCGAAGCUGCGGCAGCGAACGUAUCACUUAAAGCGAUUCAGCGGGUUACGAUURACGGAGCGAAGCGACGUCAAAGCGUAUACAAAGUCGAGUCGGUUUAAGGAUACGUUCGUUGGGUAGGGGAGCGUUCUGUAAGCCUGYGAAGGUGGCCUGUGAGGGUUGCUGGAGGUAUCAGAAGUGCGAAUGCUGACAUAAGUAACGAUAAAGCGGGUGAAAAGCCCGCUCGCCGGAAGACCAAGGGUUCCUGUCCAACGUUAAUCGGGGCAGGGUGAGUCGACCCCUAAGGCGAGGCCGAAAGGCGUAGUCGAUGGGAAACGGGUUAAUAUUCCCGUACUUGGUGUUACUGCGAAGGGGGGACGGAGAAGGCUAUGUUGGCCGGGCGACGGUUGUCCCGGUUUAAGCGUGUAGGUGUGUGUUCCAGGUAAAUCCGGUUCACUUUAACACUGAGGCGUGA